Non-coding RNA from Pelobates cultripes (western spadefoot toad), 360 nucleotides. Lineage: Eukaryota; Metazoa; Chordata; Amphibia; Anura; Pelobatidae. The record is from the annotation of a GenBank genome assembly.
UAUUUAUAUCUACACACACACGCUGAUUAUAUUCCCUAUUUAUAUCUAUACACACACACUGAUUAUAUUCCCUAUUUAUAUCUAUACACACACACACUGAUUAUAUUCCCUAUUUAUAUCUAUACACACACACACUGAUUAUAUUCCCUAUUUAUAUCUAUACACACACACGCUGAUUAUAUUCCCUAUUUAUAUCUAUACACACACACUGAUUAUAUUCCCUAUUUAUAUCUAUACACACACACACUGAUUAUAUUCUCUAUUUAUAUAUAUACACACACUGAUUAUAUUCCCUAUUUAUAUCUAUACACACACACUGAUUAUAUUCCCUAUUUAUAUCUAUACACACACACACUGAUU